This 232-nucleotide ribosomal RNA is filed under the name uncultured bacterium. RNAcentral describes it as "partial 16S ribosomal RNA". It matches the Rfam family "Bacterial small subunit ribosomal RNA", at positions 545 to 776 of the family's 1533-position model. The record is from RNAcentral.
UCGGAAUUACUGGGCGUAAAGGGUGCGCAGGCGGCUUCGCAAGUCGAGUGUGAAAUCCCCGAGCUUAACUUGGGAAUUGCGCUCGAAACUACGGAGCUGGAGUGUGGCAGAGGAAGCUGGAAUUCCACGUGUAGCGGUGAAAUGCGUAGAGAUGUGGAGGAACACCGAUGGCGAAGGCAGCCUUCUGGGCCAACACUGACGCUCAUGCACGAAAGCGUGGGGAGCAAACAGG